GUUUUUUCUCAUGAAAUUCUUCAUUUUUCAGAGAUUUUAAAAUAGAGAAAAGGAAGAUAAAUCAAUUCAUCUCGUUCCUUGUUAUCUUACAUUGAUUUCGGGUGCACAUCUCCAGAACAAGUAUCAGGGUCCAGGAGAGACAAUAUUCAGCUUUGGUUCCUUGAUGCUUUUAAUUAUGCUAUUGCAAUCAAGAUGGAUGUGAUGAAUUUGAGUAUAAGAUUGCUUGGACCUUCCUUUUGUUGAGAAGGUAUCCAUAAUGCAUUAAGGAAUCAAUGCCCCAUAUUUGUUGGAGACAAUAAUCGACGUUAAAGAGAAUAAGAGUGCCAAAAAAGAACAUGAUGUACAGUUUUGUUAUUUGGACUUCCAAUGUUCUUUUAAGAGGUGUGGGAGUAGUUCCUACCAUUUAUACAUGAGAAUAUAUAGCUGCAAAGGGGUUGUCUAUCAAAAGUCACUCUCCAGAAAUGAUGCAAAAAUAAGCUGCAAAAGUUCGGCAGUUUCACUUGUGCUUUAUUUUCAAUGACUUUUAUUUCAUAGUCAUUACAACGAGGAUCUGCCUCAUGUUUUCGAUGACCUCAAGAGCUGUUGUGUUCCAAAUUUCUCGUCUGAAGAAUGUUAGGAAUGGUCUACUUUUUCAAAUUAUAGAAGUGGCUGAUGUAACAUUUACACAACUACCAGGAGACUAGGAAACUAGUUGGAGGCUUGUACUGUGCUAGAAGACCUGUACUGGAGACCACUUUAGCUCACACCUAUCGAAUGCACACU
Molecule: long non-coding RNA, 762 nt
Organism: Papaver somniferum (opium poppy)
Lineage: Eukaryota; Viridiplantae; Streptophyta; Magnoliopsida; Ranunculales; Papaveraceae
Exons: 4
Source: RefSeq, a predicted model, not a curated record